RNAcentral lists this unclassified non-coding RNA (152 nucleotides) under soil metagenome. RNAcentral's name for it is "partial internal transcribed spacer 1". The record is from RNAcentral.
CCGAGUUUACAACUCCCAAACCCCUGUGAACAUACCUAUCGUUGCUACGGCGGAUCCGCCCCGGCGCCCUCGGGCCCGGAUCAGGCGCCCGCCGGAGACCCCAAACUCUUGUAUUUCUUUAGUAUCUUCUGAGUAAACAAGCAAAUAAAUUA